Molecule: ribosomal RNA, 992 nt
Filed under: Acinetobacter radioresistens
Lineage: Bacteria; Pseudomonadati; Pseudomonadota; Gammaproteobacteria; Moraxellales; Moraxellaceae
Description: bacterial SSU rRNA
Rfam family: Bacterial small subunit ribosomal RNA
Source: RNAcentral
AUUGAACGCUGGCGGCAGGCUUAACACAUGCAAGUCGAGCGGAUGAAGGUAGCUUGCUACUGGAUUCAGCGGCGGACGGGUGAGUAAUGCUUAGGAAUCUGCCUAUUAGUGGGGGACAACGUUCCGAAAGGNGCGCUAAUACCGCAUACGUCCUACGGGAGAAAGCAGGGGACCUUNGGGCCUUGCGCUAAUAGAUGAGCCUAAGUCGGAUUAGCUAGUUGGUAGGGUAAAGGCCUACCAAGGCGACGAUCUGUAGCGGGUCUGAGAGGAUGAUCCGCCACACUGGGACUGAGACACGGCCCAGACUCCUACGGGAGGCAGCAGUGGGGAAUAUUGGACAAUGGGGGGAACCCUGAUCCAGCCAUGCCGCGUGUGUGAAGAAGGCCUUUUGGUUGUAAAGCACUUUAAGCGAGGAGGAGGCUACCUAGAUUAAUACUUUAGGAUAGUGGACGUUACUCGCAGAAUAAGCACCGGCUAACUCUGUGCCAGCAGCCGCGGUAAUACAGAGGGUGCGAGCGUUAAUCGGAUUUACUGGGCGUAAAGCGUGCGUAGGCGGCCAAUUAAGUCAAAUGUGAAAUCCCCGAGCUUAACUUGGGAAUUGCAUUCGAUACUGGUUGGCUAGAGUAUGGGAGAGGAUGGUAGAAUUCCAGGUGUAGCGGUGAAAUGCGUAGAGAUCUGGAGGAAUACCGAUGGCGAAGGCAGCCAUCUGGCCUAAUACUGACGCUGAGGUACGAAAGCAUGGGGAGCAAACAGGAUUAGAUACCCUGGUAGUCCAUGCCGUAAACGAUGUCUACUAGCCGUUGGGGCCCUUGAGGCUUUAGUGGCGCAGCUAACGCGAUAAGUAGACCGCCUGGGGAGUACGGUCGCAAGACUAAAACUCAAAUGAAUUGACGGGGGCCCGCACAAGCGGUGGAGCAUGUGGUUUAAUUCGAUGCAACGCGAAGAACCUUACCUGGCCUUGACAUACAGAGAACUUUCCAGAGAUGGAUUGG